UUGAAAUUUGGGGCACAAUAAAAGCUGGGAUUCUGUCACCACUUACAUCCUACACAACUUACUUUUUUUACAAGUUGGAAGAUAAUUUUCUAUUGAACUUUUUGGUGUUGAAUCUGAAAAUAUGUAGAUUUGUUUUUUUACAUCUAAAUCCUGUAUAUAUACCAUGGUAUCUAUACAUCUCAGCUUGUACUCCGCCCACCUCUCAUCUCUGUUGCACAGGGGAAGAGUUUGAAUGGACUGAAGAAGAUGAUAUUCUCGAAGAUCUUGAUUGGGAUCAUCAUCCUUGUAACAAGCAGCUUGAUAACCCAGUUCCUAGAUUAAGAGAUGAUGGCUGGUUUCAGUUAGAAUUGGGCAAGUUUUCACUGAAAAUGAAGACAAUUGCAUAGUGUUGAGAAUGCAAGAUGUGACGGUUGGUUAUACAAAACGAGGCCUUAUUGUUGAAGGAAUUGAGAUAAGGCGAAAAAUUGCUUAACCAUUUUAUAGCUGUACUUCAUUUCAUUUGGUUAAGUAUUUAAGUUUGCCUUUUGAGCUCUGUUUUCUUGAAAAAGUUCAUUUUAUGCUGCAAAACUAAUAUGGCUGGAAUGAAUAGUAUAGGUUUUGAAUUUUAUGAUACAUGAGCCUAUUUUCCCGAUGGGAUAUGUUUAAUUGUCGCUUGGAUAUGUAAUUGUUAUGUUUAAACCAAAGAUAAUCCAUUGCCUUUUUUCUGUUAAGUUCUUUGUCUUAAACGGGAAAUAAGGUGGAAUAAAAUGAAAAUCUACAUAGGCAAGGGAAUUGAGUUGAGGAGAAGAGUGUGGGAAGCAUUGCAUCACUCAUCCAUUGGAGGUCAUGCAGGACAACAGGCCACUUAUUAUGAAUCAAGAUGCUAUUUUACUGACCUAACAUGAAACAGGAUAUCUUUAAAUGGGUAAGGGAGUGUGACAUAUGUCAGAAAGUCAAAUCUGAGAAUGUGCAUUACCCAGGGCUUUUACAACCUCUCCCUAUACCUGAAACACCUUGGAAAGACAUUGGAAUGGACUUCAUAUAAGGUUUGCCUAUAUCACACCAUAAGGACUCAAUAUUGGUAGUGAUGGAUCGGUUGACUAAGUAUGGUCAUUUUAUUGUCCUAAAGCACCCCGACACUACUCAACUAUAGCUGAAAUAUUCUUGAAUGAGGUUUAUAGAUUACAUGGGUUACCUCAGUCCAUAGUUACUAACAGGGAUGUCGUUUUUAUAAGUUUAUUCUAGAAACAACUAUUUAAAACCCUGAGAACUAAGCUCAAUAUGACUUCAGCCUAUCAUCCUCAAUCAGAUGGACAUACUGAGCGAAUUAACAAGUGUUUAGAGACUUAUCUUAGAGUUAUGGUGUUGGAUCAACCAAAGCAAUGGUCUAAGUGGUUACAUUUAGCCGAAUUCUGGUACAACACAAAUUAUCAUGUUUUCCUCAAGGCUACACCCUUUGAGGCCCUUUAUGGUAUUCCACCACUCCACAUACCAUUGGGCUCCUUAGGCCACUCUAGUAGGUCCUCAACAGAGGCUUGCGUGACACAAUGAUAAUAGCUAUUACAACAACUCCAAAAUAAUCUACAAGAAGCACAAUCGCGAAUGAAAUACUAUGCGGACAAGAACAGAUCUGAGAGAUCUCUAUAGAUUAGCGACAUGGUUUAUCUCAAAUUGCAACUAUAUAGACAAUCAACGGUAGAGAUGAGAUGAAAUCUUAAGAUAAGUGCCAAAUACUAUGGGCCUUACAAGGUAAUUGAAAGGACAGGAACAGUGGCUUACCGUUUGGAGCUUCCCUGGGGUCAUAGAUUCUCCUCGUAUUCCACAUAUCGCAAAUCAAGCGACAUAUAGGUCCAAACAUCAGCUCUCAGCAGCAGCCCCCGAGUUGUGAUGGAGAUGAAUGUCUACUGGUGGGGUCAUUAGUCAUCCUACAUUGUCGAAUAAUCAAGGUCAACAAUACCGUAGCAGUGCAGGUGCUCGUUCAUUGGGCUAAUCUGGAUGCAGACGAAGCCACAUAGGAGGAUUGGAGUUAUAGCCGCAGUCGCUUUCCUUAGUUCGUAACUCAAACACAAUCUUAAGGACAAGGUUGUUUUGAAGGAGAGAGAGUUGUAAUGUUAUGGGGUUUGCAUAAUUGAAGAAGGAACUAAAGAAUAAAGAGUAAAGUGAAUAAAAAGGAUAAAGUGAAGUUGGACACGAGUGGGGACGAGAAUCAGGCAAGUAGCGGUCCAACUGGCAGCUGACUUACAAUGAGUGGUCGAGAUUAGAGAUUAUCGACGGCAGAGAUUACUUCUCUAGAAACUCCAGCUCAGUUUUCUUAAUAAAUAUCUCAACUGGAAUGGGGAUUAGCAGUUAGACAAUUAUUGAUAAAUUUCCCUCUCAAACAUUCUCUCUCAAAUAUUUCUCUCUAUCCAUUUCU
This 2392-nucleotide long non-coding RNA is filed under the name Capsicum annuum. RNAcentral's name for it is "long non-coding RNA (CANN_LNC019652)". The record is from RNAcentral. Lineage: Eukaryota; Viridiplantae; Streptophyta; Magnoliopsida; Solanales; Solanaceae.